UACGAAGGGGGCAAGCGUUGUUCGGAAUUACUGGGCGUAAGGGCGCGUAGGCGGCUUAUCAAGUCAGGCGUGAAAUUCCCGGGCUCAACCUGGGGGCUGCGCUUGAUACUGAUGAGCUUGAAUGCGGGAGAGGAUAGUGGAAUUCCAGGUGUAGCGGUGAAAUGCGUAGAUAUCUGGAGGAACACCGGUGGCGAAGGCGGCUUCCUGGACCGACACUGACGCUGAGGCGCGAAAGCCAGGGGAGCAAACGGG
RNAcentral lists this ribosomal RNA (252 nucleotides) under uncultured bacterium. RNAcentral describes it as "partial 16S ribosomal RNA". It matches the Rfam family "Bacterial small subunit ribosomal RNA", at positions 524 to 776 of the family's 1533-position model. The record is from RNAcentral.